RNAcentral lists this ribosomal RNA (468 nucleotides) under uncultured bacterium. RNAcentral describes it as "partial 16S ribosomal RNA". It matches the Rfam family "Bacterial small subunit ribosomal RNA", at positions 28 to 507 of the family's 1533-position model. The record is from RNAcentral.
GACGAACGCUGGCGGCGUGCUUAACACAUGCAAGUCGAACGGAAAGGCCCUGCUUUUGUGGGGUGCUCGAGUGGCGAACGGGUGAGUAACACGUGAGUAACCUGCCCUUGACUUUGGGAUAACUUCAGGAAACUGGGGCUAAUACCGGAUAGGAGCUCCUGCUGCACGGUGGGGGUUGGUAAGUUUCGGCGGUUGGGGAUGGACUCGCGGCUUAUCAGCUUGUUGGUGGGGUAGUGGCUUACCAAGGCUUUGACGGGUAGCCGGCCUGAGAGGGUGACCGGCCACAUUGGGACGGAGAUACGGCCCAGACUCCUACGGGAGGCAGCGGUGGGGAAUAUUGCACAAUGGGCGGAAGCCUGAUGCAGCAACGCCGCGUGCGGGAUGACGGCCUUCGGGUUGUAAACCGCUUUCGCCUGUGACGAAGCGUGAGUGACGGUAAUGGGUAAAGAAGCACCGGCUAACUACGUG